ACAGAGGGUGCGAGCGUUAAUCGGAAUUACUGGGCGUAAAGCGCACGUAGUCGGCUUUGCAAGUCGGGUGUGAAAUCCCCGGGCUCAACCUGGGAACUGCAUCCGAGACUGCAUUGCUAGAGUAUGGGAGAGGGAAGCGGAAUUUCUGGUGUAGCAGUGAAAUGCGUAGAUAUCAGAAGGAACAUCAGUGGCGAAGGCGGCUUCCUGGACCAAUACUGACGAUCAGGUGCGAAAGCGUGGGGAGCAAACAGGA
RNAcentral lists this ribosomal RNA (253 nucleotides) under uncultured prokaryote. RNAcentral describes it as "partial 16S ribosomal RNA". It matches the Rfam family "Bacterial small subunit ribosomal RNA", at positions 525 to 777 of the family's 1533-position model. The record is from RNAcentral.